This 492-nucleotide ribosomal RNA is filed under the name uncultured Bradyrhizobium sp. Its description in RNAcentral is "bacterial SSU rRNA". It matches the Rfam family "Bacterial small subunit ribosomal RNA", at positions 384 to 895 of the family's 1533-position model. Lineage: Bacteria; Pseudomonadati; Pseudomonadota; Alphaproteobacteria; Hyphomicrobiales; Nitrobacteraceae. The record is from RNAcentral.
UGAUCAGCCAUGCCGCGUGAGUGAUGAAGGCCUUCGGGUUGUAAAGCUCUUUUGUCCGGGACGAUAAUGACGGUACCUGCAGAAUAAGCUCCGGCUAACUUCGUGCCAGCAGCCGCGGUAAUACUAAGGGGGCUAGCGUUGUUCGGAAUUACUGGGCGUAAAGGUUGUGUAGGUUGUUUUUUAAGUCAGGGGUGAAAUCCUGGAGCUCAACUCCGUAACUGCCUUUGAUACUGAACAUCUUGAGUUCGGUAGAGGUGAGUGGAAUUGCGAGUGUAGAGGUGAAAUUCAUAUAUAUUCGCAAGAACACCACUGGCGAAGGUUGCUAACUGGCCCGAUCCUGACCCUGAUGCACCGGAGCGUGGGGAGCAAAUAGGAUUAGAUUCCUUGGUAGUCCACGCCAUUAACGAUGAAUGCCAGACGUUUGUGGGUUUACUCACUCGUGGCGCAGCUAACGCUUUAAGCGUUUCGCGUGGGGACUACGGGUGCAAGAUU